RNAcentral lists this ribosomal RNA (1500 nucleotides) under Escherichia coli. RNAcentral describes it as "partial 23S ribosomal RNA". It matches the Rfam family "Bacterial large subunit ribosomal RNA", at positions 418 to 1903 of the family's 2925-position model. Lineage: Bacteria; Pseudomonadati; Pseudomonadota; Gammaproteobacteria; Enterobacterales; Enterobacteriaceae. The record is from RNAcentral.
CGGGACACGUGGUAUCCUGUCUGAAUAUGGGGGGACCAUCCUCCAAGGCUAAAUACUCCUGACUGACCGAUAGUGAACCAGUACCGUGAGGGAAAGGCGAAAAGAACCCCGGCGAGGGGAGUGAAAAAGAACCUGAAACCGUGUACGUACAAGCAGUGGGAGCACGCUUAGGCGUGUGACUGCGUACCUUUUGUAUAAUGGGUCAGCGACUUAUAUUCUGUAGCAAGGUUAACCGAAUAGGGGAGCCGAAGGGAAACCGAGUCUUAACUGGGCGUUAAGUUGCAGGGUAUAGACCCGAAACCCGGUGAUCUAGCCAUGGGCAGGUUGAAGGUUGGGUAACACUAACUGGAGGACCGAACCGACUAAUGUUGAAAAAUUAGCGGAUGACUUGUGGCUGGGGGUGAAAGGCCAAUCAAACCGGGAGAUAGCUGGUUCUCCCCGAAAGCUAUUUAGGUAGCGCCUCGUGAAUUCAUCUCCGGGGGUAGAGCACUGUUUCGGCAAGGGGGUCAUCCCGACUUACCAACCCGAUGCAAACUGCGAAUACCGGAGAAUGUUAUCACGGGAGACACACGGCGGGUGCUAACGUCCGUCGUGAAGAGGGAAACAACCCAGACCGCCAGCUAAGGUCCCAAAGUCAUGGUUAAGUGGGAAACGAUGUGGGAAGGCCCAGACAGCCAGGAUGUUGGCUUAGAAGCAGCCAUCAUUUAAAGAAAGCGUAAUAGCUCACUGGUCGAGUCGGCCUGCGCGGAAGAUGUAACGGGGCUAAACCAUGCACCGAAGCUGCGGCAGCGACGCUGAUGCGUUGUUGGGUAGGGGAGCGUUCUGUAAGCCUGUGAAGGUGUGCUGUGAGGCAUGCUGGAGGUAUCAGAAGUGCGAAUGCUGACAUAAGUAACGAUAAAGCGGGUGAAAAGCCCGCUCGCCGGAAGACCAAGGGUUCCUGUCCAACGUUAAUCGGGGCAGGGUGAGUCGACCCCUAAGGCGAGGCCGAAAGGCGUAGUCGAUGGGAAACAGGUUAAUAUUCCUGUACUUGGUGUUACUGCGAAGGGGGGACGGAGAAGGCUAUGUUGGCCGGGCGACGGUUGUCCCGGUUUAAGCGUGUAGGCUGGUUUUCCAGGCAAAUCCGGAAAAUCAAGGCUGAGGCGUGAUGACGAGGCACUACGGUGCUGAAGCAACAAAUGCCCUGCUUCCAGGAAAAGCCUCUAAGCAUCAGGUAACAUCAAAUCGUACCCCAAACCGACACAGGUGGUCAGGUAGAGAAUACCAAGGCGCUUGAGAGAACUCGGGUGAAGGAACUAGGCAAAAUGGUGCCGUAACUUCGGGAGAAGGCACGCUGAUAUGUAGGUGAAGCGACUUGCUCGUGGAGCUGAAAUCAGUCGAAGAUACCAGCUGGCUGCAACUGUUUAUUAAAAACACAGCACUGUGCAAACACGAAAGUGGACGUAUACGGUGUGACGCCUGCCCGGUGCCGGAAGGUUAAUUGAUGGGGUCAGCGCAAGCGAA